Long non-coding RNA from Triticum aestivum (bread wheat), 5786 nucleotides. RefSeq lists it as uncharacterized. Lineage: Eukaryota; Viridiplantae; Streptophyta; Magnoliopsida; Poales; Poaceae. The transcript is spliced from 15 exons. The record is from RefSeq and is a predicted model, not a curated record.
ACACGCGCACCCCGCUCCUCCUCUCCUCUGCGCCACCGCCGCCCGUCCUCCUCCCCUCACAUCGCGCCCGCACGGCCCUGCUACGCCGUUGUCGCUCGCCCUGGUCGCCUUCACCCUCGCGCGCGCUCGCCAGCUGAGCGCGUCCCUCCUCUCGCGCCGCGCGGCUGGCGACCGGCGCAUUCGCCUCUCGUCUUUGUCCUCUGCCCCGCCGAGAUCGCUCCGUCCUCCGCCCUCCGCCCCAUCGCCCCUCCUCUCGAGGCACUGGCUGGCGCGCUGCCUUCGCCGGAGGAGUGACGGUUGCGGGUCCGAGGCCUCCCAUGCACGCCGUUCGGAGACGGAUCGAUCUUGGUCGGCCGGUCCACAUCACCAUUGUUGUCGUCCUUCGCUCCCUAGGAUGCUAUCCUCGCCACCAUAGGGCCCCAUCGAGCUCGCGCCAUCGUCGUUUCCAUUGAUGGGGAAGCACAAGAUGAUGUGCGCUGCAUCGCUGCUCCUCGGUCGAGCUUGCACCUCCCUUGUGCAGCGUGCCAGCCAGUGCCUCGAGCAGUUGUGCCACGUCGCUGCCAUUGACGGGGAAGCACAAAAUUCUUGACGAAUGGGGUGUGGGGUACUCGACCCUGAUUCAUCAAGGAGCACGAUGACUCGCCACGGUUCGCCUCUCUCUCUCUCUCUCAUGUCAACCCCGAUUUCCUUUUAUUUUGCAGAUCUGCAAUGGCCUGACGAACGAGGCGAUCCUUGGAAGCAGCACGUACACCUCUCUCUCUCUCUCUCACUCAGAUUCCAAAGUUAUUCCUCUCCAUAUUCCAUACCUCUCACCAUUUUUUAUUUUCCUCGGCUUUUAGUUUAUCAUGUGUGUGCCAAUAUCUAAUUCCCCUGGUUAUCAUGUCUAAGUAAGCAUUAUGUUCUCCUUUAUUUAAUUUGAUUAUGCUAUGCAAAGGGAAAUCAAGAAUUACUUUUCUUGGUACAUAUGCAGUGUAUUUUUAUUUCCAGUAGUAACAGCUCAAUUAGAGGUGAGAUGGAGUGACAUAGACAGUUGAAGGCUAUAUAUUAGUUGCAUAGAUUGAGCAAUAUAAAUAUUGCAUCACUGAUGAAUUAGGAGAAGACUAAAUGGUGCAUUUGGCAAAAUAUCUAAUAUGCAGCAUUGGUGUUUAGUGGGUUUUAAACAUUUCUGGGAGCACUCUGCCUAUCUUAUUCCUUCAUUUAAUAUCUGGACAAAUAAAUGCAGGCUCAUUCCUUUCAUAUCUAGACAAAUGGAUCCUAGAGUGCCAACCGCCACCACCAUGCUCCUUCGAAGGCAAGCCCACUUCCUGAGGCCUACUUAUUAUUUCCCCAUCGACACCUCUACCAGAUCAGCCGUAGCAGCGAAACCCAACUGCUGAGAAAAUAUGAGGUGGGCAAGAAUAGAAGAGAGAUGUAGUGCUUUUGUGCUGAUAUUGGUUUGCAUCUAUACUACUAGAAAAUGAGAGAGGGAGCUUUGGUACUGAUAUUAGUUGAGAGAGAGAGUACAAAGUGACAUAGGUAUUAAUUAUAGAGUAAAAACCUUCCUUCUGAAUACACUGUUAUGCUCUACCAUUUUGCUUUGGUGUCUCCAAACACCUUCCUUUUUGAUAAUACAACCAUAUUAGGCAGUACUAUUCAGCUCACAUCUUCGAAUGUUAUUCAGCAGACCCCAUUAGUAAUAUCUAUUAUCUCUUUAAUUCAGCUUUAUAAAUCAGGACAUGUGAUAGAUGGUGUGCGGAUUUAAUCCAGAAAUAAGAGAGCGAUCGAAAUCCCUGGCUCCUCAGAGCUCAGGCGAUUCCGGCCGUCCGAUUGAUCUCCUGAUGCGUUUCCGGCCGUCGGAUCUCGGGUUCGGUUCACGUGAGGCGUAGGAUAUUUACCAGAUCGCCGUGAGCCGUUAGAUAAAAUUCCAAUGCCACCGCGUGUAAAACUAGAUGGUUGCGGAGGGCAUUUUCGUCAUUUCCCAUGGUUGGAAAAAUAUCCAAUCGCCACAUGGGCGUGACCUAGCCGUCGCUUCUCCACAUUCGCUCGUCCCACCUCCUCUGCCUCGCACGCCGCCACCGCUCGCCCUCACGCCGCCGCCGCCUCCGCUCGCCCUCGCGCCGCCCCCUUGCCUCUCUCUCUCUCCCUCCAAGCCCUAGAACCUCACCCGCGCCUCCCAGCUCCGCCGCCGUCCAGGUCCAGCCCCAUGCCACCGUUGUCUUCUCGCCCAGCCGGCCGCCACCACACCGCACGCUCGUGCGCAGGGGCGAGAAGGGGAACCACCGCCCGCUCCCGGAGCGCGAGGAGGACGUGGUGAUGCAGCGCCCAGAUCCACGGCGGCAUCGACGCGCCGUCGUCAACCUGAGCCACCACCGUCCUCGAGGUCGGCCAUGGAGGGGGGGUCCGACCCAGGUACAGCCGUGGACGGAGACACCCCAAACCCUAGCAUUGCUGCUGCUGGUCAAGGUGCACGCACGCGUCCAGCAGCGAACCCUAGCCUCGGACGACAGCAGCGGCCAUCACCAAUGACGGCAGCGACAGGGGGUGAAUUAGUUCUGCAGAUAACAUUCAAUGCACUGUCUGAACUGCGUCCGUGUAACUCGCUCUAGCAUAUCCUGUGUGUGCAUAUCACGUCUGUGGCAUCACCAUGGUGGAACCGAAAAUGGACCUAUCAAGGAGAUGGAUGUGGUUAUACUAGAUGCAGGGUAACCAUAUGUAUGCAGAGAUGCCUGAGAAAUUUGUUAACCAAUUUAUAUGCGUCCUCCAAGAGUGUGGGUUGAUGAUCUGUCGCAAGUUUCUGGUCUUUCUCAAGAAGUAUGUCUUUGGGCCGGUGGAGAGUCAAUACAUGAUUAAGUUCACUAGGUAUACAACUGUUGCGUGAUGGGAGGGUCUAGAAGCAGAAUUUCCUUUCUGCACCUAUGUCCUGACUCCAAUUAAUCAGCUCCCAAGGCCUACAAACACGCCUGAGCGUUUCACAGAUGUGGUUGGGAUUAUCCCAGGUUUCUUUGUUCUUUCAUGUUGGAAUCAGUGACAAUACCUUGCCGGCACUCCUCGUAUUCUCUCCACUAUGUUUGGCUAAGGUUGCAAAGGUGGGUACGAGGAGAUGAGUCUCGUGGCGGUGAGCGGAACGGAGACAAGGAUGGCGACUUAAUGCUUCUCGGAGACCUCAUCUGGAGGUGGUGGCCAAAGGCAAAUGGUACAGAACCUCCAUGAGAUUUUGAAUUCUGCUUGAUGCAUACAAGAAAGGAUAUUGUGAACAUUUGGUUCAUUUUGGUUGUGGAUUGACCUAUGCUGUGCAAGGAAACAUGUUGUCACGCCUUCAACAUUAUCGGCGACCUUUCUGAUUUGGAGUUGUACUUCGUUAUUGUGAAUAAUGAAUAUGGUCAACAAUCUGAAGAAGAGUCACCUUCUGCCGAGAGAGUGAUGCGUGUUACUGCCGGGAGAGCUGCUUCUUGCAGGGAGAGUGAUAUCAACCUGCGAUGUGUUAAGCGGAUCACUGUGUAACUGAAUGAUCAAUCAGAGAAGAGUAUUUUUUCCACCAAAAGUGAGGCCAAUUUGUGUGUUUUUGGUUGUGGCAGACCAUUUUUAGUCAAAUUGAGAAACAACUGCCUUUUGGUCUCGGCCCAUAACCAACCGUGAAAGAUGAGAUGUUUAUGCUGCCCUUCUACCUUCCUCCCUGUCCCUACUUUUCCCCAUCGUGUGUUCGUCUCUCUGAAGUAAAGUAAACAUGAAACUAUAUGCUGAAAAGUGGGUUGAUAAAUAUCCAGUUACUAAAUUCACUAAAUUUGUGAUCCCAAUAGUGUGAUCAAAAUAGUGAAAUGUCAGGGUUUGCUCUACUGCAAAUUUGCAGUUUACUUGAACUUUGUUGUGAUGAGCAAUUCUGGUCUGACCAAACUAAUAAAUGCAUGUGCUUUUCAUGUUUUGUUCCUAGUAAGAAGUUGAUUCUGUAUUUUAUGUAUUUGUUGUGAGCUACUUUUAACUCUGAUAAAGAACGUACAUUGUAUUUUCUUGCUGGUGUCCUUACAUCUUUGAUCUGAUGCUUUAUUACCGGGUUGGGAGUGAUCGCACCCGCAGGGGUGCGACAAGCCACAAUUUCUAUCUGGUCUAUGUUAGGCCUGUCCAGACGACUUCAACUUCUGUACGCUACAUUUUCUUUUGGAUGUGUCAUGUCGUCAUUUCUAUUGGUCUACGUUAUGCCUAAGACCAACCAAGGAUUUAUCAGUUUGGUUGUUAUAAAUUGUCUGUAAGCUACUACAUGUUGUCGUGUCUUUUAUGCCUAAGAUAUUUAGUGCUAAACCUAUCGGCGAAACAUGCUUUCUAUGUUCAUGCAUUGUUUAGAGGCUUCUUAUUGUGUGUAUACAAACAUUUGGACCGGCACCCUCGCGCCAAGGCGUGAUCCCGAUCUAGUUUCAGAAUAUUGUUAGCCCAACAUACAUGAUAUUUGUACAUUAGCAACAUGUAUGUUAGUCCCAAAAUGAAUUUUUGAACUAUGGAUGGUACCACUAAAUUUUUUUGAACCACAUCUAAAUUUCUCAUUUGCUUCUCUGUUUACAUGACCCACAAUGCACUUGAUUUCCAAACUAAUAGAUUUGGAAACAAUAGUAGUUUUGGUUUGUUUUUAUUCAACAACAGUUGCAUAUUCUUGCUAUAAUCUGUGAUAUGGUCUGUGCUGGCUAUCAUGCUUCUUAAUUUCCAAUAUAUUGAUCCAACAGUUACAGCAUGGCCUGAUAGACAUUGAAAUCAAUUUGUUCGGGCUGAGAACCAUUCUAUAUAAUACUCACCAUUGUUUCGUUUCUUUUGGUCUAGGACAAAGGGUAUAGGAAUGUUUGUAUUCAGAUAGAAGGCUGAAUUAGAUGCAUUCUUCGAGAGAAAUUUACAUCUUUUUACUAAUUCCUCUCUUUGUUUUGUUUGUUUGGCUAUUUCAGAAUGACAACGAGAUACACCUCCUUGAUGAAAAUAUAUGGGCAGUCGUGUAGUCAUCACCGAGGAAGAUAUUGUAUGUAGCUUACUAUAUUUUUGGACUGCCAAAACAUGAGAAGGAAAGUGCGCCUUUGCUUUGGUCUUGCUGUUGUUAUGAGGUCCAUUUGUAAAGAGCACGGUCCCAUCCUUCCAUUAUCAUGGUCCCAUUAGGGGGCAACACAUAACCAGCGAUAAUGAGGUGCCGUUGGCCAUGGGUGCAGUUGUCCACAGCUAGGGGUGGGAUUGUUAGUUUGUUACAACAUAUGGAUGAUAUGCACAUGGAAGGCUGAUAUAAACAAGCUAUAAUUGUUUGGGCUAUGAUUCGCAACAUAGAUUGGGGAUUUUAAAAUGUCAGACAAGAAAGUUAUCGGCCUAGUCGUCGCUUGAGUCGGAUGAGGUCAUGGUUACUUUACCUGAUGAGUUACUGCCCAGGAAGAGCACAAUCCACCACCGCUAUAUAGCAGAUGGAGCUACCAAGGACGUCGUCAUAUUGACCACCGAUGACCUACAUCCUUUCGCUUCCCCUCAUGUUUUGCAGAAUAGAAGUGGCCUGAAAGCCACUUGAAUGAAAUCUUGUGUCUUGCGAUGUGUCAAUGCCAUGAAUUAGAUGUUUGUAGUAUAUUUUUUUAAUUGAAAUGUUUACCUGUGAUAUUGAGCACAGUACAUUAGUGCAUGGAUCAGCAUUGCAGUUUCAACUCUUUUGAUGUAUGGUGAUCUAUGUUUUGUGCAGACUAACAAGGCUUUGUAGUGAAUUUUUAUAGGUCACAUGCGACAAGUUGCCCUUCGUAUGUUAAUCUUGAUACUUUGUACUGAAUUUUUAUGCGAACCAUUUAUUUGUCCGGAUUGUCUUA